Molecule: ribosomal RNA, 484 nt
Filed under: uncultured bacterium
Lineage: Bacteria
Description: partial 16S ribosomal RNA
Rfam family: Bacterial small subunit ribosomal RNA
Source: RNAcentral
AUUGAACGCUGGCGGCAGGCCUAACACAUGCAAGUCGAGCGGAUGAAGGGAGCUUGCUCCUGGAUUCAGCGGCGGACGGGCGAGUAAUGCCUAGGAAUCUGCCUGGUCGUGGGGGAUAACGUCCGGAAACGGGCGCUAAUACCGCAUACGUCCUGAGGGAGAAAGUGGGGGAUCUUCGGACCUCACGCUACCAGAUGAGCCUAGGUCGGAUUAGCUAGUUGGUUAGGUAAAGGCCUACCAAGGCGACGAUCCGUAACUGGUCUGAGAGGCUGAUCAGUCACACUGGAACUGAGACACGGUCCAGACUCCUACGGGAGGCAGCAGUAGGGAAUAUUGGACAAUGGGCGAAAGCCUGAUCCAGCCAUGCCGCGUGUGUGAAGAAGGUCUUCGGAUUGUAAAGCACUUUAAGUUGGGAGGAAGAGCAGUGAGUUAAUACCUUGCUGUUUUGACGUUACCAGCAGAAUAAGCACCGGCUAACUUCGUG